Molecule: ribosomal RNA, 484 nt
Filed under: uncultured bacterium
Lineage: Bacteria
Description: partial 16S ribosomal RNA
Rfam family: Bacterial small subunit ribosomal RNA
Source: RNAcentral
AUUGAGCGCUGGCGGCAGGCCUAACACAUGCAAGUCGAGCGGAUGAAGGGAGCUUGCUCCUGGAUUCAGCGGCGGACGGGUGAGUAAUGCCUAGGAAUCUGCCUGGUAGUGGGGGAUAACGUCCGGAAACGGGCGCUAAUACCGCAUACGUCCUGAGGGAGAAAGUGGGGGAUCUUCGGACCUCACGCUAUCAGAUGAGCCUAGGUCGGAUUAGCUAGUUGGUGGGGUAAAGGCCUACCAAGGCGACGAUCCGUAACUGGUCUGAGAGGAUGAUCAGUCACACUGGAACUGAGACACGGUCCAGACUCCUACGGGAGGCAGCAGUGGGGAAUAUUGGACAAUGGGCGAAAGCCUGAUCCAGCCAUGCCGCGUGUGUGAAGAGGGUCUUCGGAUUGUAAAGCACUUUAAGUUGGGAGGAAGGGCAGUAAGUUAAUACCUUGCUGUUUUGACGUUACCAACAGAAUAAGCACCGGCUAACUUCGUG